This 83-nucleotide transfer RNA is filed under the name Agrocybe pediades. RNAcentral's name for it is "tRNA-Gly". It matches the Rfam family "tRNA". From Rfam's summary of the family: Transfer RNA (tRNA) molecules are approximately 80 nucleotides in length. Their secondary structure includes four short double-helical elements and three loops (D, anti-codon, and T loops). Further hydrogen bonds mediate the characteristic L-shaped molecular structure. tRNAs have two regions of fundamental functional importance: the anti-codon, which is responsible for specific mRNA codon recognition, and the 3' end, to which the tRNAs corresponding amino acid is attached (by aminoacyl-tRNA synthetases). tRNAs cope with the degeneracy of the genetic code in two manners: having more than one tRNA (with a specific anti-codon) for a particular amino acid; and 'wobble' base-pairing, i.e. permitting non-standard base-pairing at the 3rd anti-codon position. Lineage: Eukaryota; Fungi; Basidiomycota; Agaricomycetes; Agaricales; Agrocybaceae. The record is from RNAcentral.
GCAUUAAUGGGGUAGUGGUAACCUGGGUCGUUGCCACCAAACGCGGAUUCGACCCGCCGGGGGUUCGAUUCCCCCUUAAUGCA